This 495-nucleotide ribosomal RNA is filed under the name uncultured bacterium. RNAcentral's name for it is "bacterial SSU rRNA". It matches the Rfam family "Bacterial small subunit ribosomal RNA", at positions 28 to 518 of the family's 1533-position model. The record is from RNAcentral.
GAUGAACGCUAGCGGCAGGCCUAAUACAUGCAAGACGAACGGUAAGUUGAGUAGCAAUACUUAGCCAAGAGUGUCGUACGGGUGCGUAACACGUAUGCAACCUACCCUAUACAGGAGGAUAGCCUAGGGAAACCUGGAUUAACCCUUCAUAGUAUUAUUGGAUGGCAUCAUUUGAUAAUUAAAACUGAGGUGGUAUAGGAUGGGCAUGCGUCUGAUUAGUUAGUUGGCGGGGUAAUGGCCCACCAAGACGAUGAUCAGUAGGGGUUCUGAGAGGAAGAUCCCCCAUACUGGCACUGAGAUACGGGCCAGACUCCUACGGGAGCAGCAGUAGGGAAUAUUGGGUCAAUGGAUGCAAGUCUGAACCAGCCAUGCCGCGUGCAGGAAGAAGGCCCUUCUGGGUUGUAAACUGCUUUUGCCAGGGGAUAAAAUUUCCAUGCGUGGAAAACUGAAGGUACCUGGUGAAUAAGCCACGGCUAACUACGUGCCAGCAGCAGC